UUGUAUUGACAUUUAGGUUUAGUUCAGUUUGUCUAUCUUCCUCCCUCAAGUAGGAGGGAGGCGAAGACACACCCAACUUGCCAAUAAUAGAUCAAUGAGCCUGUCCUGACAAAGGCUUGGUAAAGAUGUUGGCAAUUUGGAGACGCGAAGGAAGAUAAGACAGAGAAAUAAUGCCGGCGAGAAACUGUUGUCGGACAAAAUGGCAAUCCAGCUCCAUGUGCUUAGUACGCUCAUGAAAUACUAGAUUCUUUGCAAUGUGAAUCGCCGCUUGGCUAUCAGAGUGAAGAGUCACUGGCAAAGAUGGCGUAAUAGACAAAUCUUCAAAUAAUCGAACCAACUAGGAAAUCGGUGAACCCCCAAAAUUGAUGUAGAAUCCACUGAUUGAAUGACGUGAUUCUGGGCAAGAACCCCAAUCGGAAUUGCAAAAGGCAACAAGAGGCAAAGAUGGAACGGAAUUCAUGAAAAUCCCCAAACUUGGGUCCACAAGAAGAUACCUCAAACAAUGAAAAGCUGCAUCCAAAUGAGGUUGUCGAGGAGCCUGCAUGUAUUGGCUCAGGUGCUGAACUGCGAAAGACAGAUCAUGAUGUGUAUGAAUUAGGAAAUUCAACUUUUCUAAGAGUCAGCGGAAGAAAAUAGGAUCUAAUAUCAGUUCUCAUUCAUCAGCCCUAAGCUUACGGGUGGGAUCAAUGGGCGAGGAAGUAGGCUUCAAAUCAAGACAUCCAAACUCAGUCAAUAUAAAGCGUUUCUGAGUCAAAAUUAAUCCCAGCGGAUCACGUAUAAUUUUCAUGCCUAAGAAAUAGUGAUUCUACAGCAGGUGACAUUGAUCAGUGAUAGCAGUACACUCCUUUCAGCUGAUUUGCCAUUAAAGCAGUUUCAAUAGGGUGCUGAGCAACCUAUAUUUUCCUUUGUUUCUCAUCCUGAAUCAGGAGUGAAUAAGCAUGGUUGAUGCUAGGCAAAGGAGAUGCCAUCAAAAUAUUUCUCUUUACACCUAAGUAGGUCUCAUUCAGUCCCAUAAGAAAUUGAAUGAGCCUGUCAUCUUGAUGAUAUUUGAGGAUCCUGCUCUUCCCUCCACAGAUGCAGCCACAAGUACAAUGAAUGCAUGUAUCAAGACUGUCCAACUCAUCCCAAAUUUUUUUCACCUUGGUAUAGUAACCUGCUAUGUCUGAACUGCCUAUGGACUAAAUCACUGAGUUCGUUUUGCAGAUGAUAGAGCAUAGCAUCAUUGCUUUGCCCAAAUCUAUCUUCUAACUCCUUCCAGAUAUCUCUAGCAGUUUUGGAGUAGUAGUACACUUUCAGCUAUUUAUUUCAAAAGAGAACUGAGCAACCAGGAAAUGACCAUGUCAUUAUAUCUAUUCCAGGCUCUAAAAUAUGGAGAAUAUCUGAGUGGUUCAAUGAUGGAUCCAUCGAUGAAUCCUAACUUAUUUUUGACUGCAAGUAUUUGGAAGACAGCCUUUCGUCAACCUCCAUAGCUUUUACCAUCAAAGAUAGAAUUGACAAGAAUCAUUCCAGGUAAAUCGGAGGGAUGAAGUUAAAAAGGGUGUGUUGAGUCGUUGUUGACAAUGGUUUGGGAUGCUUGAUUGAUUGAUGGAGAAUCACCUAUAGAGGAGAUGACUGGAUAUGUAAUCGUCAUUGGAGAGAAAGGCUAAAAAAGAACUUGAAGAAGAAAAACAGUGUGGAUCGAGUAAUUAAAUCUCUGAUACCAUAUUAAAAUUUAGAGAAGUUUUGUAUGAAAUUUUCUUCUUGUGUAUUUUAUCAGCAAACUGUACACCUAUAUAUACAAAUCUAAGAAUAAAAAUCUGUUUUGCACCUA
Molecule: long non-coding RNA, 1810 nt
Organism: Nicotiana tabacum (common tobacco)
Lineage: Eukaryota; Viridiplantae; Streptophyta; Magnoliopsida; Solanales; Solanaceae
Source: RefSeq, a predicted model, not a curated record